GCAAAAUGUAAUUGGAAAUAGAUAGAGUGCAUUUAGAACCAAAGAUUCAAUAGUUCACCAUCAUCUCUCAAAACAAAAUAAACCUGAACUUUGGCAUAACAAUCCUUGAACAAAAUUAAGAAGAUAUAUCUAAAACAUGUAGUCUACCAAAAACUCGAUUUAAAUUUGUUCACAUCUUAUAUUGUACUCUCUUAGUAUUUCCUGCCAAAACCACCAGCACCGCGACCAAAGGUUGGGAGAGCUGCUACUGCUUGUGGUUCUGCAGCCUG
Molecule: unclassified non-coding RNA, 269 nt
Filed under: Hevea brasiliensis (rubber tree)
Lineage: Eukaryota; Viridiplantae; Streptophyta; Magnoliopsida; Malpighiales; Euphorbiaceae
Source: RNAcentral